RNAcentral lists this long non-coding RNA (367 nucleotides) under Dromaius novaehollandiae (emu). RNAcentral describes it as "lncRNA (ENSDNVG00000002062.1)". The record is from RNAcentral. Lineage: Eukaryota; Metazoa; Chordata; Aves; Casuariiformes; Dromaiidae.
AGGAGAGGACGCGGCCGCUGGGUGCUGCUGCGAGUCCCGGCAGCCGUGGGCAGGGCACCUGAAACCUCCCUGCAUCUGCUGGAGGACGUUUGUGGUGGAAACAGUGACCGCCUCAGCGGCCUCAGUCCCGAGUCGCAAGCUGAAGCCAUUUGAGAAGAAAUGUGAUGGACUCGAAGGGCUUGUGAUGUGGCUAAACAUCUAUUCUGAAACACUUCCCAUCAGUUUGACAUCGAGGGAAACUUCAGCAGCAGGGCUGGGAGGACCAGAACUGUCAGGAUGCACUUAUACAUUGGGAAGGAGAAUGCGAUAGCUUCACUAAGCUUUGAAAAAGACUGUGUAUCUUGCAAUAAAUGCAACUUGGAAAACA